This 301-nucleotide ribosomal RNA is filed under the name uncultured bacterium. RNAcentral describes it as "partial 16S ribosomal RNA". It matches the Rfam family "Bacterial small subunit ribosomal RNA", at positions 509 to 807 of the family's 1533-position model. The record is from RNAcentral.
CAGUCGCCGCGGUAAAACGGAGGGUGCAAGCGUUAAUCGGAAUUACUGGGCGUAAAGCGCACGCAGGCGGUCUGACAAGUCAGAUGUGAAAUCCCCGGGCUUAACCUGGGAACUGCAUUUGAAACUGUCAGGCUGGAGUCUUGUAGAGGGGGGUGGAAUUCCAGGUGUAGCGGUGAAAUGCGUAGAGAUCUGGAGGAAUACCGGUGGCGAAGGCGGCCCCCUGGACAAAGACUGACGCUCAGGUGCGAAAGCGUGGGGAGCAAACAGGAUUAGAUACCCGCGUAGUCCCUGUCUCUUAUAC